GGAGGGGUACCCGAGCGGCCAAAGGGGGCAGACUGUAAAUCUGCUGGCGAACGCCUACGGAGGUUCGAAUCCUCCCCCCUCCACCA
RNAcentral lists this transfer RNA (86 nucleotides) under Deltaproteobacteria bacterium. RNAcentral's name for it is "tRNA-Tyr". It matches the Rfam family "tRNA". From Rfam's summary of the family: Transfer RNA (tRNA) molecules are approximately 80 nucleotides in length. Their secondary structure includes four short double-helical elements and three loops (D, anti-codon, and T loops). RNAcentral also lists the same sequence under 1 other name. Lineage: Bacteria; Pseudomonadati; Myxococcota; Myxococcia. The record is from RNAcentral.